AGUCAAAUCAACCGACUCUA
RNAcentral lists this small nuclear RNA (20 nucleotides) under Arabidopsis thaliana (thale cress). Its description in RNAcentral is "snRNA_16599". The record is from RNAcentral. Lineage: Eukaryota; Viridiplantae; Streptophyta; Magnoliopsida; Brassicales; Brassicaceae.